CCCUACGGGGUGCAGCAGGCGGCGAUUGACUGUUCAAUGACAAUUAUUCCUCUUAUGCUCAUCUGGCCAUAAGAGGAAUUAGGGCGAGUUGGAAAUUAGGAGAAGUUCAGGAUUACCACGUCGGCAGGACCUCGGUUGUUAACGGCUGCCAUUAGGAUCGAGCCAGACUGCAUCCGAGCAUAAUUUAGAGGCCGUCCAGGAAGCGAAGCAGAUCGUCUUUGGGUUGGAAGCGGGUUCCUCUGGCUGAGGGAGAUUGGAGUUGAUUGAGCGCCUUUUCCUUCAUCGCAACGGCUGCCUCGACGUAGAGGUGAGUGGUGGUCGGGCUUUCGUGCCCCAACCAAAGCGCGAUGACCUCUGGGGCCACCCCAGCCUGAAGCAUGCUCAUUGCCGUCGAGUGCUUAAAGGAAUUGGCGGGAGGGC
Molecule: ribosomal RNA, 420 nt
Filed under: uncultured prokaryote
Description: partial 16S ribosomal RNA
Source: RNAcentral